GACGAACGCUGGCGGCGUGCUUAACACAUGCAAGUCGAACGGAAAGGCCCUGCUCUUGUGGGGUGCUCGAGUGGCGCACGGGUGAGUAACACGUGAGUAACCUGCCCUUGACUUUGGGAUAACUUCAGGAAACUGGGGCUAAUACCGGAUAGGAGCUCCUGCUGCAUGGUGGGGGUUGGAAAGUUUCGGCGGUUGGGGAUGGACUCGCGGCUUAUCAGCUUGUUGGUGGGGUAGUGGCUUACCAAGGCUUCGACGGGUAGCCGGCCUGAGAGGGUGACCGGCCACAUUGGGACUGCGAGACGGCGCAGACGCCUACGGGCGGCAGCAGUGGGGAAUAUGGCACAAUGGGCGGAAGCCUGAUGCAGCAACGCCGCGUGCGGGAUGACGGCCUUCGGGGUGUAAACCGCUUUCGCCUGUGACGAAGCGUGAGUGACGGUAAUGGGUAAAGAAGCACCGGCUAACUACGUG
This 468-nucleotide ribosomal RNA is filed under the name uncultured bacterium. RNAcentral's name for it is "partial 16S ribosomal RNA". It matches the Rfam family "Bacterial small subunit ribosomal RNA", at positions 28 to 507 of the family's 1533-position model. The record is from RNAcentral.